GCCGGGCACGUAUGCCUAUAGUCCCAGCUACUCAGGAGGCUGAGGUGGGAGGAUCGCUUGAGCCCAGGAGUUCUGGGCUGCAGUGCACUCUGCCGAUCGGGUGUCCACACUGAGUUCGGCAUCAAUAUGGUGACCUCCCGGGAGCAGGGGACCACCAGGUUGCCUAAGGAGGGGUGAACAGGCCCAGGUCGGAAACAGAGCAGGUCAAAACUCCCGUGCUGAUCAGUAGUGGGAUCGUGCCUGUGAAUAGCCACUGCACUCCAGCCUGGGCAACAUAGUAUGACCUGGUCUCU
RNAcentral lists this signal recognition particle RNA (293 nucleotides) under Saimiri boliviensis boliviensis (Bolivian squirrel monkey). Its description in RNAcentral is "Metazoan signal recognition particle RNA (ENSSBOG00000004552.1)". It matches the Rfam family "Metazoan signal recognition particle RNA". Rfam says of the family: The signal recognition particle (SRP) is a universally conserved ribonucleoprotein. It is involved in the co-translational targeting of proteins to membranes. The eukaryotic SRP consists of a 300-nucleotide 7S RNA and six proteins: SRPs 72, 68, 54, 19, 14, and 9. The record is from RNAcentral. Lineage: Eukaryota; Metazoa; Chordata; Mammalia; Primates; Cebidae.